UAAACAGCUUUUUAAUACUGUAUCUCAAUGUAAACCGUGAGGAAGAGAAGAAGAAGCUUUCCCAUCUGGCAACACUGAAUAGCACGCUGUAUUAAAUAUGGUUGAUAGAAUGACGGAUGUUUCGGUUGUUCUUAGUUAAUUAAGACUACGUUGUUGGAUAUGAACGUAAUAAGAUAACAUAAUGCGAUAUAAACGAUAUUAUGAAACCUUAAUUUUUCCUUGAUAAGGUCAUAAUUUAGCUUAUACAGUAUACAUCUUCCCAUGCUUUACUAACCUAUGUGAAUUUGAAAAUCGAAAUACUCUGGAUAUUUUAAAACUGUUCGUCAUAUCACGAAUGCUGUCAGAAUAGAUUAAAAUUGUGUAUUUGUUAGUUUUUGGAAAAUAUCAGUAUGUCUACUAGAAAUUGUCAGCAUUGCGGUUGUAAUGAAAUAGAUACUGAUCCUGGAAGAGGAGAUGCAGUUUGUACACAAUGUGGAUCAGUGCUUGAAGAUAAUAUCAUUAUAUCUGAAAUACAGUUUGAAGAAAAUAGUCAUGGAGGAGCAAGGGCAAUAGGACAACAUGUUACUUCAGAAGGUCAAACACCCGGAUUGAGCAGAGGUUAUCCUUAUGGCACAGGAAAAGAAUCUCAAAUGAUAACAUUGCAAAAUGGUUUGUUUGAUUAUAUUCUGAAAUAUACAUUUAUAUUGGGUUGCUCGGAAAGUAAGUUCAUU
Centruroides sculpturatus (bark scorpion) is the source of this 710-nucleotide long non-coding RNA. RefSeq lists it as uncharacterized. The record is from RefSeq and is a predicted model, not a curated record. The transcript has 3 exons. Lineage: Eukaryota; Metazoa; Arthropoda; Arachnida; Scorpiones; Buthidae.